RNAcentral lists this ribosomal RNA (480 nucleotides) under uncultured bacterium. Its description in RNAcentral is "partial 16S ribosomal RNA". It matches the Rfam family "Bacterial small subunit ribosomal RNA", at positions 28 to 507 of the family's 1533-position model. The record is from RNAcentral.
GAUGAACGCUGGCGGCGUGCUUAACACAUGCAAGUCGAACGGAACUACUCCAAUGAGAGUCUUCGGAAAGGAUUUGGUUUAGUUUAGUGGCGGACGGGUGAGUAACGCGUGGGUAACCUGCCCUAUACAGGGGGAUAACAGUUGGAAACGACUGUUAAUACCGCAUAAGCGCACAGGAGCGCAUGCUCCGGUGUGAAAAACUCCGGUGGUAUAGGAUGGACCCGCGUCUGAUUAGCUGGUUGGCGGGGUAACGGCCCACCAAGGCGACGAUCAGUAGCCGGCCUGAGAGGGUGAACGGCCACAUUGGGACUGAGACACGGCCCAAACUCCUACGGGAGGCAGCAGUGGGGAAUAUUGCACAAUGGGGGAAACCCUGAUGCAGCGACGCCGCGUGAGCGAAGAAGUAUCUCGGUAUGUAAAGCUCUAUCAGCAGGGAAGAAAAUGAUGGUACCUGACUAAGAAGCCCCGGCUAACUACGUG